Molecule: non-coding RNA, 21 nt
Organism: Caenorhabditis elegans
Lineage: Eukaryota; Metazoa; Nematoda; Chromadorea; Rhabditida; Rhabditidae
Source: Ensembl
UAAUUUCUUUGUUGUUUAAAA